GACGAACGCUGGCGGCGUGCUUAAUACAUGCAAGUCGAGCGAGGUUACUGCGACAGAUCCCUUCGGGGUGAAGUUGCUUUAGCCUAGCGGCGGACGGGUGAGUAACGCGUGGGUAACCUACCCUAAAGUUCGGGAUAACAGCGGGAAACCGCUGCUAAUACCGGAUGCCUUUACCAUGUGGCAUCACAAGGUAAAGAAAGGUAACGCUUUAGGAUGGGCCCGCGUCCCAUUAGCUAGUUGGUGAGGUAACAGCUCACCAAGGCGACGAUGGGUAGCCGGCCUGAGAGGGUGGACGGCCACACUGGGACUGAGACACGGCCCAGACUCCUACGGGAGGCAGCAGUAGGGAAUAUUGCGCAAUGGACGGAAGUCUGACGCAGCGACGCCGCGUGAGCGAUGAAGGCCUUCGGGUCGUAAAGCUCUGUCCUUGGGGAAGAAGGUCUUCGGACUUGACGGUACCCAAGAAGAAAGCCCCGGCUAACUACGUGCCAGCAGCCGCGGUAAUACGUAGGGGGCGAGCGUUGUCCGGAAUUACUGGGCGUAAAGGGUGCGUAGGCGGCCCUUUAAGUCAGAUGUGAAAGCCCGCAGCUUAACUGCGGAAUUGCAUUUGAAACUGGAGGGCUUGAGUGUCGGAGAGGGUAGUGGAAUUCCCAGUGUAGCGGUGAAAUGCGUAGAUAUUGGGGAGGAACACCAGUGGCGAAGGCGACUGCCUGGACGAUAACUGACGCUGAGGCACGAAAGCUAGGGGAGCAAACAGG
RNAcentral lists this ribosomal RNA (758 nucleotides) under uncultured bacterium. Its description in RNAcentral is "bacterial SSU rRNA". It matches the Rfam family "Bacterial small subunit ribosomal RNA", at positions 28 to 776 of the family's 1533-position model. The record is from RNAcentral.